Molecule: long non-coding RNA, 3243 nt
Organism: Chinchilla lanigera (long-tailed chinchilla)
Lineage: Eukaryota; Metazoa; Chordata; Mammalia; Rodentia; Chinchillidae
Exons: 3
Source: RefSeq, a predicted model, not a curated record
GAUGGGAUUUCCUAAUUGCUCUUCUGGGAAGAGGCAACACUGAUUCCUGGGGUGUCUGAGACCCCUCCUGCUGCUGAGCUGGAACCCAGCACUGAGCUCUGAGAAGCAACAAGAUUCCUCUUUUGAGCAAGUAUAGGAUAGAAAUUUAAAAGGACAAACCUGAAUGAUAACUAACGUUCUGGGGUUUCCUCCCACCUUGCACACUCUGAGAGGUGCCCGUGACAGAGGUGUAGCCCAGGAGUCCUGACCUUGCUGUGUGACCUUGCACGUACCCUGCCCUCACUGGGGUAUGGUGAGUUCAGCUGUGAGUGCAGGCUGUGAGCUGAUAAUUCAUGGCUAAAGUAUUUGCUUCCAGCACCUUUAUUUUGUGGCACCGAGAGCUACAAGGGCAGAAGGAAGCCAAGCCUGUUCCUGGAGGACUCGAAGGUGUUUGCUCUUUAUCCCUGCGGAAGAGCUUAAGGAGGGAUUGUCUCGGGUUCUGUCUGCACACAAUUAGGGCUGACUCAGAGGUGGGCGAACGUGCCAUGUGUUAAAAUAAGAGUUGGCGGUUCUGAGAAGGGAAGUCCAGGAGCCAGCCAGGAUGGGAUUAGCGGUUGAUAAGGCAGAGGCCGAUGGGGGAGGUGUGCUGAGGAGGCCGGCGCCACUGUGGGAACCAGCUGUGGUGAAGACUCGGUUCUUCGGAAGUCAUGAGGUAGAAGCCCGAGUGGCGGAAGAGGACAUCUUUCCUCUCACUCGUGGGGGGCUGUGAGGGCCUCUCCGAGGCUGGGAAGGAGCCAGAGGACAAGAAACUCAGGGGUUCUUGGUGGAGCCGGAAGGGCCCAAAUUUCAUUUCCAGGAAGGUGGCAGUGAGGACAGUGGACUUUGGAGACUCUCUCACAGGCCCUGCAACUUAUGAUCAUCUAGAGAUAGAUUGGCAUACAGCUAUUCGGAGACCCUGCCCAGACUGCCUGAGGUUCAUCCAUGGGUCCUGUGGGUGUGGCCAGGCCCUUGGGAGCAAUGAGGAGCCCCCCACUUCCUCAGCAGCUGUGAGGAGGUGGUUUUUGCUCCUCAAAGAAGUAAACUACAGGAACAAGGGAGCUAUGGAAGCCCGGAGGUUGGAUAGAACCAGGAGUGGAAGGUAAGGGUCAAGGAAACUUCCAGAAGCUAAGGCUUGUGAUGGGUAGAGUCCAGGGCAGUGCUGGCAGGGAAGUGUCACAGGCUUGGUCUGAAGGUCCUAGUACUGAAGAAAGGAACUUAGCCCAUCCCUUUAAAUUACAGAAGUACACAGGUUUGUCACUCCAGUCUCAGAAAAAGAAUUUUCAGACACAUCAGUUAAAAAAGGUAUGAGAAAGGUUUAUUAGAAGUAGAUAUAGAAGAUGCUUAAGGAAAUGAGGUUCGAUACAGUCGGGGUAGGACACACAUUUCAUUUAAAGCCUCUUACCAUGAUGGGUGAUCUCAGAUGUGUCUUCCCACUGUCUGCCAGUUACAGAAGUGGGUUAGGAGUGGCGAUCCCUGUUAGACAUGCCGUCUCUGCUGCGUUCUGGGCUGGAGGAAGCUCAAGGAAGAGGCAGUUUGCGGUGAAAGGGACUUGCCCAGGUUUGCAGUUUGGGGAGUAAGUAAACCGGGCUUGUAUUCUGAAGCUGCAGUUUUCCUUUACAAGUACAAUUUUAAAUUCUUCAUUUCCUGGUCUCCUUUCUACCUAGUUUUAUUUCUUCUAUCCUACGGAAGGGGAAUCCAAUUUGGGACAAACCAUAUAUCCAUAUUCAUAAGCUGUACUUUGUCCUCGUGAAGAAUAGUUUGGAUUUAUAUGAAUUAGAAUUUCCCAUAAAGAUGAUUUAUGAUCUGAUUGCUAUCAAUGGAUAUAGCAAAACGAUCUGACUUCUUUACGAGGCCAUUUUUGCACAAGAUAACUUCAGAGAGAGAGAGAGAGAGACAGAGAGACAGAGCGAGGUUUAAGAACAAUAUAUUUCUCAUAGCCAGAAGAGAAAUUUCCUGCCUAGAAAGAAACCCUAAAGGAAAGUUCUAGAAGGGUGUAUGUGUGUAAACCUGGAUCCCACCCUAGACCUCUGACAUCAGACUCUCUGAGGGUAGGAUGUAACUGCCCUCCCCAAGUGACUCCCAUGAGCGUCCACGGUGUUAAAUCACUGGCCUAGUGACAGAUAAUAGCCCACCCCACUUCUCCAUGAGAGGCACUAGAAUAUUUGGAGAUUGCUGACAGAAACCACCACGGUGGAAACUACUUUGUUUCCUGGGCCUGGGCUCUGGGAGCUGGCAUCAAAGAGCCUCAUGGCCCAGAGCAGUUCUGUGGCUACCCCUGUCUGUGUCAGAGGAGCCACACAGCAUCUUAGUAAGGCCAGCUCUACUGAUUCUACCUCCACGUGGUAUUCAUAAAGAAGGAAGUGGUGCUCACAGACUGUCUUGGUUUUCUGGAACCUUCUCCAUUUUACCCCUGACUGCCUUGCGUGCCAGGAAACUCCUCAGUCCCGGGGAAGCUGGGCCCCUGGUCACAGCGCACAGCAGCUCACUGAGGCCGUGUGCAUGUGGGGAAAGGCCCCGAACCAAGGAGCAGAGAAGCCCCACUGACUGCCUUCAGCAUCCAGUUCUGCCGCACUCCCGUGGCCUUUGGGGGUGUCUUUCCCAGGGUGUCCUGCAUGGUUCCUGGCACUGGGCUCUGUCCACUCCUGGAGAAUGAUGUCUUUUCUCACACCCACACAUGCAUAUUCACAAGGAAAAAAAAAAUCAGGUAUUGUUCAAACUUAUUGCAGGUUAUAUUCCAGGAAAAGGUGGUGUACGUGAAAAAGAUAAAAAUUGGUUCAAUUUUCCCACAGAAACAAUACCAUGACGAGAAAAACCGAGUAAGGGAAAGAGUUCUGUAAGAAAUUAGUUUUGGGCAGGAAAAAUUUUUUUAAAAUUUCUUUAAUUAUUUCUUCUUUAAUUAAUCCCUGAGAAACCAGACCCCAAGUGCGAUUAACAGGAAGUUAAAUACCCUUCUUCUUGGGGCUGUCAGAUCUGUUAAAGGGCAUACACACCAAAGGAAAAGGUCCCAUCAGUCACUAGGUGCCCGCGAUUUUUCUGGAAGCAUCCUCUAAGGGAGAGGCUAUGCAAGUGACAGUGGUGGUUCUCAGCUUGGGCAUGCACUGCAGCCUGGAUCCCAUCCCUAGAGAUGCGCUCAUGGCUUGGACAUGGCUUGGACAUCAGGAUUUUUUUUUCACAUUUAACCAGGAUAAUUUUAUUAUUUGUUUAUAUAUCCAUUCAUCUAUUCAU